UCCCUCCUUCCUCCCCCUCCUUCUCCCCACGGAUCAUCAUCAUCUUCACCUUUAGGGGCAGUCGAAUGAAAACAGUGCCUUAUUGAGGUGGUGUUGGCAGUUCUGGUGGUGCUGGCAGGCUGGGAGAGUAUGCUGCAGUCAGACUAGAGAGAGGAUCUGCAGUGGUUGAUCAUAAAAAGGGGGGAAGGAUUCCAGAGACUCAUCCGCCUCCGACGCAAGCCAAUCAGCUUUGA
Fundulus heteroclitus (mummichog) is the source of this 233-nucleotide long non-coding RNA. RefSeq lists it as uncharacterized. The transcript has 3 exons. Lineage: Eukaryota; Metazoa; Chordata; Actinopteri; Cyprinodontiformes; Fundulidae. The record is from RefSeq and is a predicted model, not a curated record.